Oncorhynchus tshawytscha (Chinook salmon) is the source of this 515-nucleotide long non-coding RNA. RefSeq lists it as uncharacterized. The record is from RefSeq and is a predicted model, not a curated record. Lineage: Eukaryota; Metazoa; Chordata; Actinopteri; Salmoniformes; Salmonidae. The transcript has 3 exons.
CAGAGUCCUGGUAAAGUCCUUGACCCAGCAGCUGGUACAGGGAUGCAAGGAGGCGUCAAGACCAGCUUCUGCUGCAACAAACCCAUCAGACCAGGCUGAGACAGAGAGGGGGGCUGAGCAGAAAGCAAGAAGGAGCUUCCUUUGCUUUUCAAUGACCAAACUCAGGAUCAACUUCAAGCGUUCCAAGAGAGGAAACAAAAAGGACUGCCAUUCAGUCCAGGAACAGACUGAGAUUCCCUCUACUGAUGGACAUUGCAUAGCUCCAGUUGGAGAGGUUUCUCCCUCCAUAUCUCAGCCUGUCAAAAAACGAUCCUUGAUUGUCAGGGUCUUUUCAGCAAUGAUGAAGCCAUUCAGGCGCUUUACCAAGAAGAACCUGUAACCUGUUACGCUGCAUGAAGAACUACUUUUGUAACAGCAAGACUUUUGACAAGAGGAAUUUCUGCAUGUCUACCCUUUCAGAGUCUAUUUGAUCAAAUAAAUGGCAAUGAUUUUACAAGAAUUUCAAGUGUUUUGGA